This is a long non-coding RNA of Vitis vinifera (wine grape), 1966 nucleotides long. RefSeq lists it as uncharacterized. The record is from RefSeq and is a predicted model, not a curated record. NCBI's taxonomy places the organism in Eukaryota, Viridiplantae, Streptophyta, Magnoliopsida, Vitales, Vitaceae. The transcript has 9 exons.
CCUUAUUUCUUAAUUUAAAAAGCCUAACACUCUAGCCCACAAUCACACCCAACAAACUCACUGCCCGACACCCACACUCAAACCCUAACCUCCAUGGAUGACCCUCUUUGAAACCCUAACCCUCUCCAAAACUCUAACCCUGAAAUUUAUGAGGCCUCUGCUACUAUUUGACUGAUUGUGGAGGAGGCAUAUCCGUGUUUGGCCACCAUUAGCUGACUGAAACCCAUUCCUUCAUGUUGUUUGGCAUUCGACUGCAAUUUUUGGCAUUGACACCUAAUGGACAGUGACCUACAUUAGACUAUGAGAGAUGUGAGAUGCAAGACUUGAGACAAAGACAAAUUGAGGAAGGGCCCUUAGAAUUCAUCCACCACAAAAACAUAAAUCAUCAAAGAGGGAGCCUACUUGGGUUGUAGUAGGGUGCCCAAUACAACCAGGCAGUGUUGAAUGUGGAUACUAUGUGAUGAGAUAUAUGAGAGAUAUUAUUGCUGAUUAAGGAUGUCUUACAUCAAAGUUUCAUGGGAAAAAAUCGUAUAGCAAAGAUGAGUUGAAUGAAGUACGAUCAGAAUGGGUAAUGCUAGUCACUCAGUUGAUACUUUCUUCUGUUUGAAGGCUUUGAAGACACCUUUCUGUAUGGAAAUAGAUCAUACUUUUGCCCAAUCCAACUAUCACCUUUGUUAAGGCAUCCAAAAGGAAACUUUUUGAAGCUAAAAGUUGGAAGCUUUUCCAAGUUUCUAAUAGUUCAUGGGCUAUUGCCACAAAAAAGAAUGUUCUUGUUGGUUCAAAGGGAAACAUGAAGAUUUCUAAUUUUGGCCAUGGUGUUAUACCACAACAUUAUCGGGUAAGUGAUUGAGCGUAGCUCUAGAAACUGCCAGUGAAGUAUCUCUAUGAACAUAAUCCCCUCAUGAUUUGCAGAAAUUUUAAGACUAACAACAUACUCUUAAAGGUAUGGUCUCUACUACUCAUAAAUUACCAUUAUAUUUUGUUCAUUCAGAAAAUUUAUAUUGGUGAUGAAGUUUUUAUUAUUUUACAUCAUUGGCUUGAUAACCAUGCUUUUUAAAUUUAGUAUACAUGAGAAAUAACAAUUAAAAAAAAAUGAAUUCCGGUUUCUCACUUUAUGUGUUUGUAUUAUGGACAUUUUUAAGCUAAAGUUCCUUAAGCUUUACUUUUGUGUAAUGUAUUGCAUGAUAGACUGAUGUUUGAAUCUCUAUUUGGCUUCAUAGAUAACCUGAAUUUAUUGUUAAAUUUUUAUGCAAUCAUAUAUUUGCCAUAUAGUUGUCACUUUAGAUCGCUCACAUAAUUCUAGAUAUUUUCCCAAAUAUGUUUUAUUUUAAAAAAAUAAUCAUAAUCUUUUUAAAUAUGAAAUAUGAGCUUUCAUUAAAAAAUAUUCAUCAGUAGAAGAUGUUUAUCUACUAUUAAGUUGUAGAUAUUCUUCUCUACAUUUUUUUAUGCAUGCCAAUUUAUUUAUUAUUAAGUUCUGGAAUUCAUAUGGUUGUUGCUAGCCUUGAUAGUGAUAAAUAAAAUGAAUGAUAAGUAUGAUACAAUUGACCACUAUUUUGGAUGCAAUGUUGCAACUCAUAUCAUAUGGUGGGAAGUGUUAAUUCUUUUAACUUAACAAAAAACUUAGUUGAUAAAGUAUCAUGGUGUAAACCUUAUUUAUUUCAUGUUACACCAUAUUCCCAAACCUUCAUUUGUCAAUGUUGGACAUUCGACGAGGUCUAUUACUAUUAGAUGAUGCCUAAUUGAAUAUUUUAAUGGACUAUUGAUGUUGAUAUUCUCUUGUCCCAAACUUGGUUUGUUUUUCUAUUUUCUUUUGGGCUAUACUAAAGAUUUAAUGGAUUAUCGAUGUUGAUGUUCUCUUAUCCCGUAUUUGAUUAAUCUCUUGUUUUGUGUUUUAACUAUUGAUAGUAAUUUUGUUGUAAUUAUUCUUAGAGUCACAUAUGUCAAUUGGUAUACACAUUUGAUUUCC